AACGAACGCUGGCGGCAGGCCUAACACAUGCAAGUCGAACGCCCUAGCAAUAGGGAGUGGCAGACGGGUGAGUAACGCGUGGGAACGUGCCUUUCGGUUCGGAAUAACUCAGGGAAACUUGAGCUAAUACCGGAUACGCCCUUCGGGGAAAGAUUUAUUGCCGAAAGAUCGGCCCGCGUCCGAUUAGCUAGUUGGUGAGGUAAAGGCUCACCAAGGCGACGAUCGGUAGCUGGUCUGAGAGGAUGAUCAGCCACACUGGGACUGAGACACGGCCCAGACUCCUACGGGAGGCAGCAGUGGGGAAUAUUGGACAAUGGGCGCAAGCCUGAUCCAGCCAUGCCGCGUGAGUGAUGAAGGCCCUAGGGUUGUAAAGCUCUUUCGCCAGGGACGAUAAUGACGGUACCUGGAUAAGAAGCCCCGGCUAACUUCGUG
RNAcentral lists this ribosomal RNA (432 nucleotides) under uncultured bacterium. RNAcentral's name for it is "bacterial SSU rRNA". It matches the Rfam family "Bacterial small subunit ribosomal RNA", at positions 29 to 507 of the family's 1533-position model. The record is from RNAcentral.